CUUGCGGCGUGCUUAACACAUGCAAGUCGAACGGAAAGGCCCUGCUUUUGUGGGGUGCUCGAGUGGCGAACGGGUGAGUAACACGUGAGUAACCUGCCCUUGACUUUGGGAUAACUUCAGGAAACUGGGGCUAAUACCGGAUAGGAGCUCCUGCUGCAUGGUGGGGGUUGGAAAGUUCCGGCGGUUGGGGAUGGACUCGCGGCUUAUCAGCUUGUUGGUGGGGUAGUGGCUUACCAAGGCUUUGACGGGUAGCCGGCCUGAGAGGGUGACCGGCCACAUUGGGACUGAGAUACGGCCCAGACUCCUACGGGAGGCAGCAGUGGGGAAUAUUGCACAAUGGGCGGAAGCCUGAUGCAGCAACGCCGCGUGCGGGAUGACGGCCUUCGGGUUGUAAACCGCUUUCGCCUGUGACGAAGCGUGAGUGACGGUAAUGGGUAAAGAAGCACCGGCUAACUACGUGCCAGCAGCCGCGGUGAUACGUAGGGUGCGAGCGUUGUCCGGAUUUAUUGGGCGUAAAGGGCUCGUAGGUGGUUGAUCGCGUCGGAAGUGUAAUCUUGGGGCUUAACCCUGAGCGUGCUUUCGAUACGGGUUGACUUGAGGAAGGUAGGGGAGAAUGGAAUUCCUGGUGGAGCGGUGGAAUGCGCAGAUAUCAGGAGGAACACCAGUGGCGAAGGCGGUUCUCUGGGCCUUUCCUGACGCUGAGGAGCGAAAGCGUGGGGAGCGAACAGGCUUAGAUACCCUGGUAGUCCACGCUGUAAACGGUGGGUACUAGGUGUGGGGUCCAUUCCACGGGUUCCGUGCCGUAGCUAACGCUUUAAGUACCCCGCCUGGGGAGUACGGCCGCAAGGCUAAAACUCAAAGGAAUUGACGGGGCCCCGCACAAGCGGCGGAGCAUGCGGAUUAAUUCGAUGCAACGCGUAGAACCUUACCUGGGUUUGACAUGGAUCGGGAGUGCUCAGAGAUGGGUGUGCCUCUUUUGGGGUCGGUUCACAGGUGGUGCAUGGCUGUCGUCAGCUCGUGUCGUGAGAUGUUGGGUUAAGUCCCGCAACGAGCGCAACCCUUGUUCACUGUUGCCAGCACGUUAUGGUGGGGACUCAGUGGAGACCGCCGGGGUCAACUCGGAGGAAGGUGGGGAUGACGUCAAGUCAUCAUGCCCCUUAUGUCCAGGGCUUCACGCAUGCUACAAUGGCUGGUACAGAGAGUGGCGAGCCUGUGAGGGUGAGCGAAUCUCGGAAAGCCGGUCUCAGUUCGGAUUGGGGUCUGCAACUCGACCUCAUGAAGUCGGAGUCGCUAGUAAUCGCAGAUCAGCAACGCUGCGGUGAAUACGUUCCCGGGGCUUGUACACACCGCCCGUCAAGUCAUGAAAGUUGGUAACACCCGAAGCCGGUGGCCUAACCGUUGUGGGGGAGCCGUCGAAGGUGGGACUGGUGAUU
Molecule: ribosomal RNA, 1433 nt
Filed under: uncultured organism
Description: partial small subunit ribosomal RNA
Rfam family: Bacterial small subunit ribosomal RNA
Source: RNAcentral